This 218-nucleotide ribosomal RNA is filed under the name Uropelma formosum. RNAcentral's name for it is "partial 28S ribosomal RNA". It matches the Rfam family "Eukaryotic large subunit ribosomal RNA", at positions 967 to 1163 of the family's 3401-position model. The record is from RNAcentral. Lineage: Eukaryota; Metazoa; Arthropoda; Insecta; Hymenoptera; Eupelmidae.
UUUCCCUCAGGAUAGCUGGCACUCGCUUGAGCGAGUCUCAUCUGGUAAAGCGAAUGAUUAGAGGCCUUGGGGCCGAAACGACCUCAACCUAUUCUCAAACUUUAAAUGGGUGAGAUCUCUGGCUUGCUUGAACGUUGAAGCCACGAGAUUUUUCUUUAAUCCUUUGGAUCAGAGUGCCAAGUGGGCCAAUUUUGGUAAGCAGAACUGGCGCUGUGGGA